CCUACGGGUGGCAGCAGUGAGGAAUAUUGGUCAAUGGGCGCUAGCCUGAACCAGCCAAGUAGCGUGAAGGAUGACUGCCCUAUGGGUUGUAACCUUCUUUUAUAUGGGAAUAAAGUGCAGUAUGUAUACUGCUUUGCAUGUACCUUAUGAACAAGGAUCGGCUAACUCCGUGCCAGCAGCCGCGGUAAUACGGGGGAUCCGAGCGUUCUCCGGAUUUAUUGGGUUUAAGGGGUGCGUAGGCGGACGGUAAAGUCAGCGGUAAAAAUGCGGUGAUAAACGGCGUACAGCAGUUGAAACUGGUAGUCUUGAGUAGGCGAGAGGUAGGCGGAAUGCGUGGUGUAGCGGUGAAAUGCAUAGAUAUCACGCAGAACUCCGAUUGCGAAGGCAGCAUACCGGAGCCCUACUGACGCUGAGGCACGAAAGCGUGGGGAUCGAACAGGAUUAGAUACCCCUGUAGUC
Molecule: ribosomal RNA, 459 nt
Filed under: uncultured bacterium
Lineage: Bacteria
Description: partial 16S ribosomal RNA
Rfam family: Bacterial small subunit ribosomal RNA
Source: RNAcentral